Molecule: ribosomal RNA, 440 nt
Filed under: uncultured bacterium
Lineage: Bacteria
Description: partial 16S ribosomal RNA
Rfam family: Bacterial small subunit ribosomal RNA
Source: RNAcentral
CCUACGGGAGGCAGCAGUGGGGAAUAUUGCACAAUGGGGGAAACCCUGAUGCAGCGACGCCGCGUGAGUGAAGAAGUAUUUCGGUAUGUAAAGCUCUAUCAGCAGGGAAGAAAAUGACGGUACCUGAUUAAGAAGCCCCGGCUAACUACGUGCCACCAGCCGCGGUAAUACGUAGGGGGCAAGCGUUAUCCGGAGUUACUGGGGGUAAAGGGAGCGUAGACGGCAGCACAAGUCUGGAGUGAAAUGCCGGGGCUUAACCCCGGAACUGCUUUGGAAACUGGGCAGCUAGAGGGCAGGAGAGGUAAGUGGAAUUACUAGUGUAGCGGUGAAAUGCGUAGAUAUUAGGAGGAACACCAGUGGCGAAGGCGGCUUACUGGACUGUAACUGACGUUGAGGCUCGAAAGCGUGGGGAGCAAACAGGAUUAGAUACCCCUGUAGUC